RNAcentral lists this ribosomal RNA (1093 nucleotides) under Percocypris pingi. RNAcentral's name for it is "partial 16S ribosomal RNA". It matches the Rfam family "Bacterial large subunit ribosomal RNA", at positions 198 to 2063 of the family's 2925-position model. Lineage: Eukaryota; Metazoa; Chordata; Actinopteri; Cypriniformes; Cyprinidae. The record is from RNAcentral.
CCACCUAAUAAUUAAAUAAUAUAAAUAAAAUAAAAUAAGCCUAAAACCAAAAGCUAAACCAUUCUUUUACCUGAGUACGGGAGACAGAAAAGGUCCUACCAAAGCAAUAGAAAUAGUACCGCAAGGGAAAGCUGAAAGAGAAAUGAAAUAACCCAUAUAAGCACUAAAAAGCAAAGAUUAAAUCUUGUACCUUUUGCAUCAUGAUUUAGCCAGUACACCCAAGCAAAGAGACCUUUAGUUUGAAACCCCGAAACCAAGUGAGCUACCCCGAGACAGCCUAUUAAGGGCCAACCCGUCUCUGUGGCAAAAGAGUGGGAAGAACUCCGGGUAGAAGUGACAGACCUACCGAACCUGGUGAUAGCUGGUUGCCUAAGAAGUGAAUAGAAGUUCAGCCUCGUGUUCCCCAAAUCAAAAAUAAAUAAGACCAAGAGAAAUACACGAGAGUUAGUUAAAGGGGGUACAGCCCCUUUAACAAAGGACACAACCUUUACAGGAGGAUAAAGAUCAUAAUAUAUAAAAUAUACUGUUCUAGUGGGCCUAAAAGCAGCCACCCAAACAGAAAGCGUUAAAGCUCAGACAGAAAGAAGUUUAUUAUUCUGACAAAAAAUCUUACUCCCCUAAAUACUAUUAGGCCAGCCCAUGCCUACAUGGGAGAGACUAUGCUAAAAUGAGUAACAAGAAGGCUUGCCCUUCUCCCGGCACAAGUGUAAGCCAAAUCGGACCCACCAUUGGCAAUUAACGAACUCAACUCAAGAGAGCAAUGUGGAUUACAAAAAUACCAAGAAGAGCCCACAACUAAAUUAUCGUUACCCCCACACUGGAGUGCCAUUUAAAGGAAAGACUAAAAGAAAAGGAAGGAACUCGGCAAACACAAGCCUCGCCUGUUUACCAAAAACAUCGCCUCUUGCAACCCAACUAAGUAUAGGAGGUCCAGCCUGCCCAGUGACCACAAGUUCAACGGCCGCGGUAUUUUGACCGUGCAAAGGUAGCGCAAUCACUUGUCUUUUAAAUAGAGACCUGUAUGAAUGGCUAAACGAGGGCUUAACUGUCUCCCCUUUCAAGUCAGUGAAAUUGAUCUGCCCGUGCAGAAGCG